UUAACGCGAAGAACCUUACCAGGUCUUGACAUCCCUCUGACCGCUGUAGAGAUAGGCCUUUCCUUCGGGACAGAGGAGACAGGUGGUGCAUGGUUGUCGUCAGCUCGUGUCGUGAGAUGUUGGGUUAAGUCCCGCAACGAGCGCAACCCUUAUGCUUAGUUGCCAGCAGGUCAAGCUGGGCACUCUAAGCAGACUGCCGGUGACAAACCGGAGGAAGGUGGGGAUGACGUCAAAUCAUCAUGCCCCUUAUGACCUGGGCUACACACGUACUACAAUGGCCGGUACAACGGGAAGCGAAGCCGCGAGGUGAAGCCAAUCCUAGAAAAGCCGGUCUCAGUUCGGAUUGCAGGCUGCAACUCGCCUGCAUGAAGUCGGAAUUGCUAGUAAUCGCGGAUCAGCAUGUUACCGGGAGAUAUCUUACGU
RNAcentral lists this ribosomal RNA (423 nucleotides) under Paenibacillus polymyxa. RNAcentral describes it as "bacterial SSU rRNA". It matches the Rfam family "Bacterial small subunit ribosomal RNA", at positions 956 to 1365 of the family's 1533-position model. The record is from RNAcentral. Lineage: Bacteria; Bacillati; Bacillota; Bacilli; Caryophanales; Paenibacillaceae.